This 277-nucleotide long non-coding RNA is filed under the name Brassica napus (rape). RNAcentral describes it as "long non-coding RNA (BNAP_LNC019618)". The record is from RNAcentral. Lineage: Eukaryota; Viridiplantae; Streptophyta; Magnoliopsida; Brassicales; Brassicaceae.
GCCUGUUGGCACAUACCCAUCAUUGCCCACACUGUGGUCCCAUAGUCACUUAUGCCUAGAAUUGGCAUGACUCGAUUCUACUGGCACCACUUUUCCACCUUUCAUACCACGGCUUCCACAACAUCGUUCAUCUCACCCUUCUCCUUCACCACCCAUUUUUGGUGUUUCACACAUAAUUUUUAUUCAAUUCUCAUUCUUAUUCCUUAAACACAUUCUCAGAUGCCACCCGUUCUCGGUUCAUACGCAAACAUCACAAAUUCAGUUCAAAAUCAAUCAA